GCAGAACGCGAAGAACCUUACCUACUCUUGACAUCCAGAGAACUUAGCAGAGAUGCUUUGAUGCCUUCGGGAACUCUGAGACAGGUGCUGCAUGGCUGUCGUCAGCUCGUGUUGUGAAAUGUUGGGUUAAGUCCCGCAACGAGCGCAACCCUUAUCCUUUGUUGCCAGCGGUUAGGCCGGGAACUCAAAGGAGACUGCCAGUGAUAAACUGGAGGAAGGUGGGGAUGACGUCAAGUCAUCAUGGCCCUUACGAGUAGGGCUACACACGUGCUACAAUGGCGCAUACAAAGAGAAGCGACCUCGCGAGAGCAAGCGGACCUCAUAAAGUGCGUCGUAGUCCGGAUUGGAGUCUGCAACUCGACUCCAUGAAGUCGGAAUCGCUAGUAAUCGUAGAUCAGAAUGCUACGGUGAAUACGUUCCCGGGUCUUGUACACACCG
This 438-nucleotide ribosomal RNA is filed under the name uncultured bacterium. RNAcentral's name for it is "bacterial SSU rRNA". It matches the Rfam family "Bacterial small subunit ribosomal RNA", at positions 954 to 1392 of the family's 1533-position model. The record is from RNAcentral.